ACAAUUAUCGCUGUCUCGAUGUGAUUUGUCGGGAGUAUAUUGAGUUUCGCGUUAAACACUCGAUAGCUAAUUUGCUAACAUUCUCCCGUCCAUCACAAGUUGUACGUAGUGUUUUUAUUUUUGUAUUUAAAUAUUUGUUUAACCUGCACAGGUGCAUCAGACAAUACUUUUGCGAGGACAGGAUCUUCUGCUGUCUAUAUCACUGUCUGUGCCUACUGUUAAUAACCAUUUACACAAGCUCUAAAAUCAUGCAGUUCAACAAAAAGAUUUUAUCAUCAUCAAGCAUGGUCUCAAGUGCAGGCAAUCCCCACACUUUCACUGCUGUUACUGUACAUCAACAGUAAUCAGAUGUGAUUGUUUUAUUACACAUUUUAAAAUGUGUAAAAAUCCAGCCUCUGAACAACCUCCCAUUGGCUGCAGCACCACCUUCGUCUCCAGCAUCAGCAUCCCCACCUUCAUUUCGCCCGGACAUUGGAACAUGGUGCCCCUCUACAGCUUGGAGGAAUUGAUUGUGGGGUAUUUAUGUUGAUGUCAAGUCCCACAACUACUCACCCAGGAAGUAACAUAUGCAGAUAACAUGAAAUUCACUCCACCCGAGUCAGGUGUCAUGGAGAUCACCCAGACAACAGAAGUAGAUCACACAGGACUCAGCGGUGAUGAGAAACAUUCAGCUGACCUGUGAGUGGGUAAAGGAGACCACUUGCUGGGAAGAUGAGCUACAAAAGAUCUAAAGGAUGAUGCCCUGUUGUCUAUAACAAUGUGGGACUUGUUUAUAAACACCAUGAUUUAUGAGGGUGAAAGGAAUGAAGAAGAAAUUUUGACUCCCUUCCCUUUUAUAUUUUAGAGAAGAGCAGGGGCCUCAUUUAUAAAAUGCUGCGUAAAAACCAUCCUAAAUUUGAUCUGGCGAUCAUUUAACAAAAAUGCGUACGUGUGAUUCAUAAACCGAACGUACGCGCAGAAAACGCGCGUACCCCUUUCAAAUCUAUAAAUCAGAAAUGAACUUGAACUUGUGCGCGCAGCCGAGCAGUUUCAGAUCUCCGCCUUUAAACGAUGCGUAAUUAAUGUCAGACAUAUAAAAAGCGCUUGUCAAUGUUUAAACCCAAUUUCAAACAGCAAGAAUGGCUUAUAUUUCCAAAAACCUGCAGCAAUCAGACAAGCAAAAGUGCGUACAUCUGCUCAGACCCUGACGUGGCGCUAAGCACUUUUCCACGUCAAAGACGGUUUUUAUAAAUAUGGACUUUGCUGUGGAUUUUCGCCUACGCACACUUUACGAUCAAAUCUGUGCGUACGCAGGCUUUAUAAAUGAGGCCCCAGGAGAUAUAUGAGACAAAAGAGUUAUUUGUGGGUUUUGUUUACACAAACAAACCCUGUCUUGUGAAUCUACUAGUGGGGAUAGACUAAUUUAAAUAUAGAUUUUUUUGAUUGUUUUUGUAAAAUACCAUUUCACGAGUUCGCAUUAACAUGUAAUCGAUAGGGAAUGAGAUUAAGCAUAUUUGGCGUGCUGUCCGAGGAGAGCGCUCCGAGCUCGGAAUUUUAGCCCAAACCCAGAGUACUCCCCUCUCUUUAACUGUGAUGAAUUAAUCUAGAUGAGAGUGAGGUGAUGGGGUGGAGGAGGGAUUCUGCAAAAAAUCUGUCACGGGACAGAGGUGAGGGACUGCCAUUUAUAGGCACCUCUUUGCACUGAUUGGUUGGAUCACAUGACCAUGCUCCUCCCGAACUUAGUUAAAUAAACUUCAUUAAACGUUUGUGUGAACUGUAAAGUGAUGUGUUCUUGAAAUAAAUAUAUAAUAUUUAUUAUUGUAUCUUAUUAUACCAUUAAAGUGUCGUGUUCUUGAAAUAUUCAUGAUAUUAUUUAAAAUCUUCUUAUCAUAACAUCUUGAUUUCUUUUAUGUUAGAUGCACAUUUUGCUAAAUUUGGGUUAAUAGAAACCAAUAAAUCCACUUGUAGGACACUGGAGUAUAACACUUGUAGGACACCUGGGUAUGUGACUAUUAAAUAACAUAAUUUAUAUUCUACAAAAAUGUAAAUUAAAGGGAAUGCCUCAAUAAUCUCAAAGCACAUCGUAUAUCCUCUACUAUGGGAAGUCACAUGGUUGAUUUUAGACUACUUGUCUGCUUAUUCAUAAAAUAUAGUAUACUGCAUAGCCUAUCACAUAAAUGUCGAAUCUAUCCAAAGUUACAGUCAAUAU
Paramisgurnus dabryanus is the source of this 2188-nucleotide non-coding RNA. NCBI's taxonomy places the organism in Eukaryota, Metazoa, Chordata, Actinopteri, Cypriniformes, Cobitidae. The record is from RefSeq and is a predicted model, not a curated record.